GACGAACGCUGGCGGCGUGGAUUAGGCAUGCAAGUCGAACGGUAUCAUCCUUUCGGGGGUGAGAGAGUGGCGAACUGGUGAGUAACACGUAGGUUAUCUACCCUCAAGACGGGGACAACCCAGGGAAACUUGGGCUAAUACCGGAUGUGAGCAACUUUUAGUUGUUUGAAAGGUGGCGUAAGCUGUCGCUUGGGGAUGAGCCUGCGUCCUAUUAGUUAGUUGGUGAGGUAACGGCUCACCUAGGCAAUGAUAGGUAGGCGGCCUUAACGGGUGGUCGCCCACACUGGGAUUGAGAUACGGCCCAGACUCCUACGGGAGGCAGCAGUCGAGAAUAGUCUACAAUGGUCGGAAGACUGAUAGUGCGACGCCGCGUGAACGAUGAAUCCCUUCGGGGUGUAAAGUUCUUUUAUAUGUGAGCAGUGCUUCUUAUAUUAACAGUAUGGGGAAGAGAUAUUAGCAUAUGAAUAAGCAACGGCUAAACUCCGUGCCAGCAGCCGACGGUAAUA
RNAcentral lists this ribosomal RNA (506 nucleotides) under uncultured bacterium. Its description in RNAcentral is "bacterial SSU rRNA". It matches the Rfam family "Bacterial small subunit ribosomal RNA", at positions 28 to 525 of the family's 1533-position model. The record is from RNAcentral.